RNAcentral lists this ribosomal RNA (253 nucleotides) under uncultured bacterium. RNAcentral describes it as "partial 16S ribosomal RNA". It matches the Rfam family "Bacterial small subunit ribosomal RNA", at positions 524 to 776 of the family's 1533-position model. The record is from RNAcentral.
UACGUAGGGUGCGAGCGUUGUCCGUAAUUAUUGGGCGUAAAGAGCUUGUAGGCGGUUUGUCGCGUCUGCUGUGAAAAUCCGGGGCUCAACCCCGGACUUGCAGUGGGUACGGGCAGACUAGAGUGUGGUAGGGGAGACUGGAAUUCCUGGUGUAGCGGUGAAAUGCGCAGAUAUCAGGAGGAACACCGAUGGCGAAGGCAGGUCUCUGGGCCACUACUGACGCUGAGAAGCGAAAGCAUGGGGAGCGAACAGG